AGGGAUGGGGUUAUGUAUGGGACUCUUGAAUGCGUGCAAACAUAACAACCCUUUCCACGGGAUUUUCUGAGUUUUGCUUCAAUAGUUUGUAAUCUGAAUGGAUUGAAAGUGUGGAUGGAUUCUAAAUGCCAAUGAUGUCUUAUGAUGUUGUUAAUGAUUUUUAUUUUUGAAUCCAUCUAGUUUCGGUUCUUUUUUUUUUUUUCUGAUUUCUAAUUCCUCGAAAGAUUCUGUUACUCCACUGUAUUUGAUGGAAACAAAAGGUGCAGAAACUACAAAAUGUAGUAAGCUGGUUUUCUACUUUUUCUUUCUUAUGAAUGCAAACUUGAAUUAACGGGUUGGUG
This 341-nucleotide long non-coding RNA is filed under the name Ananas comosus (pineapple). RNAcentral describes it as "long non-coding RNA (ACOM_LNC011248)". The record is from RNAcentral. Lineage: Eukaryota; Viridiplantae; Streptophyta; Magnoliopsida; Poales; Bromeliaceae.